RNAcentral lists this signal recognition particle RNA (97 nucleotides) under Anaerorhabdus furcosa. RNAcentral's name for it is "Bacterial small signal recognition particle RNA". It matches the Rfam family "Bacterial small signal recognition particle RNA". From Rfam's summary of the family: The signal recognition particle (SRP) is a universally conserved ribonucleoprotein involved in the co-translational targeting of proteins to membranes. Lineage: Bacteria; Bacillati; Bacillota; Erysipelotrichia; Erysipelotrichales; Erysipelotrichaceae. The record is from RNAcentral.
AAUUAAUAACGGUACAACAAGUAUGUAUUGAAUCAGGUCAGGACCGGAAGGUAGCAGCCUUAAGAACCUCUACUUGUGUGUACCCUUUUUAUAUUCC